Molecule: non-coding RNA, 2530 nt
Organism: Physcomitrium patens
Lineage: Eukaryota; Viridiplantae; Streptophyta; Bryopsida; Funariales; Funariaceae
Source: RefSeq, a predicted model, not a curated record
UCGCAUCGAAUAAGUAAGUUCCUUUUAUUUUGGUUCCUUGAUUAUUCUCUCAAACUGUCCACAGGAAUCGUGGCAGCAUCAGUUGGUUUAUCCUUUUGCCAAAGUGCCGUUCGAUGGAGUUCGAGGACACAAUCACUGUCGGUUUUCGCGACGCUAUCGUAAGCAUUGAGCAGAUCAACAGUUAAGCGUUGGCGCCGACAGCAGGGAUGAGUGGAGCCACGAUUCGGGGAAAAUUCGCGGAUGUUGGACAGCACAUCCAGUGCAGCGCGUAGAGAUUUGAUGAGAUACAAAUCGUAUCUAUGAGACUUUGGUGUGGUCAAGUGAAAAUUAGAUUAUAGGGGCUUGAUAGAGGGAAACGCGUCUCCGUCCGCAAAGCUUGAUUUCACAUGUCGAUGCUGCACCACCCUGCCCAGAACAGAAGUCGGGAUUUUGCUGCGAUUUGCUGUGAGAGCAAUGAAGGGAAGAAUAACAUGGCGUGUGAAGCCGCGCUCUGAGGUGCACAUCUCCAAAACAAUACGAUAUCUGUGCUGGAUGACUCUAUUGCAGUGUUAUUUUAAUUUUUUAUGCGGGUCAGAGACUACUGGAGUCGCGAAAGAGAACUCGCUAACCGGGAGAUGUGGGGUAUUAGCGUUUCGCAAAAUAAGUGCUGCCUGUUCCGCAACUUUGCCCUAAGAUGGCAUGCCGUGUGUACCCCUUGUUGCGGAGACUGCAACUUUUACUGCCUCAUCCUUGGAGCAGGACUGAAUAUGUAACCGCAAAGAUAUAGAGAAGAAGAACGUGAAACUUAAACAAAUUCAGUACACCUAAUAUUAUACUGAACUUGACUGGACCACUGUAAGGUUCUAAAGAUUGUAAGAUAGGUAUUCAUCAACUCUGCAGAAGCGAAAUAGACCGACACAUAAGAACCAGAAGCGGUCGAAAAGUACUUCCCUGGGAAGUAGUGAAGGAUUUACUGCAGAGGGGCGUUAAGUUGUACGGACUGCGUCAGGAUUGUCAGGUUCUUUAUACCAUCUCGGCGUGACAGUACGUUCACAUAAGUCUAUCUACUCGGCAGGAACUGUGGAGAAAACAACGAUUACGAUAUUUAUCUUUUUCUUGACUUCAAUGAGACCUGCCACAGCUCAGAAGGCCCAGAAAACCAGGUGGCGGUGCCAGACUUUCAUUGCCCAUGAUGCACCAGGGCUCCAUCAAACCCUCCCUCUAGUCCUGGAUGGCUCAAGCGAUAGGCUACUUAAUGCUCGUGGACAAAGCUCCUUGCACAGAGAAAUCGGUGGUGCAUAUGCAGUCACGCAUGGCACAUGGGAAUGACAACUAACACAGCCAAACGUGUGAGAAGCUGGAGCUCUGCUGGAGCUCGGAAUAGGUGAUCAAUAACAUGGUAACGAGUAACCUCCAAUGGCAUCGACAUCUCGAUUCUUCCGAUGGACAGAGUGCGUUUUCACUGUUUAUAUUGGACAUCAAAAAUUGUAGAAAUAUCAGCUCACAUGGGUUGAGGCUGAACUUGCAAGUUGCAUCGACCAUUCCACUGCCCUCUUCUGCCUUACAAGACUUGCUAGUGAACGUAAAGAGGCGAAAACUCGACCCAAGUUACGAAUGUUACUCCCAAUGUUUUUUGGCUGUCGUUCGAAGUGACAACAACAUGGCUUCAGAAGUUCUUCUACACCGGAUCUGGAGGCGCAGAAGCGAAGCACAAGUUCAGUUACCACCAUGUCCAUGCAACCGCGAUCGCAUAACUCCGGAGAAACUGAGUUACAUGUUCUAAGCAAACCUUCAGGACUUCAAUUUCGGCAGCGCUGUAAAGACCUGGGCUAUCAUCAUUUUAAGAUGGCCACUGUGUUAACCCAUUUCAUGAGGAUUUUACUGGCGCGAGGCCACUCAAUGGUACACAACUAUCACAGUCGUCUUCCACCUGUGCGGAACUCAACCCUUGACUCGGAUCAUCGACCAAGCACAAUGCUCAAACUAGAACAUCAAAAUCUUUGAGUAUCCCGAAUCAGGCACUGUUGCAAGUCUUCAUUACAAAGGUCAAGCAUCAUUUGCUUUGAGUAGCACCUACUUCAAUUCGGUGGUUCGAAUUUCAGAGAAUUCUUUAUUCUUCGAAAUCAUCAGUUCUUGAUUGUGGAAGCUGCUGAGAAUAAGAACUGAACGAAGAAUCUAGUUGGGAGAAUGCGAGAAGGAGCACUUGACUCUGGGAAAAUCCGUAUAGAAAAUAAUCUGCCACGAGGGAGGAUUUUUUUUCUAAUCCUGCUGAACGUGUGGAGAUAAUAACCUGCUACAGGGAGAGGUCUUUUUGAACCUUCCUCUCAUUCAAACAGUGUAGUCUUUUGUCUCCCACCAAAAAAACAAAGUUUCUAGGACCACUUUUUCUACUAGUCAUGAGAGGAAUCCUUGGAAUCCCAUCACCUCCUUCACUCUGCAUAGUACAUUACAUUCUGUUUUGUGUUUUACAACACUCUACAGUUCUAAAUCAAAUACUUUGUUGCAUGAAUACAUACUACACAUACAUACAUUCCUAAUUUUUGAGUCUCAA